Chlorocebus sabaeus (green monkey) is the source of this 104-nucleotide small nuclear RNA. NCBI's taxonomy places the organism in Eukaryota, Metazoa, Chordata, Mammalia, Primates, Cercopithecidae. The record is from Ensembl.
GUGCUUGCUUCAGCAGCACAUAUACUAAAAUUGGAAUGACACAAAGAUUAGCAUGUCCUCUGCACAAGGAUGACAUGCAAAUUCGUGAAGCAUUCCAUAUUUAA